UGUUGGCAAGUACUGUAGUUUUAUAUUAUUUAUUUUUUUAUUUAUACGAGUGGAUAUUAAAUUGAUAAUUCAGUGAGUCUAAUUAAUAAUGUGCAACCACUAAAGUGGAGAGUAAAUGUAAAUUAGCAAGACAAUCUCUCUCUCUCUCUCUCUCUCUCUCUCUCUGUCUUUUUUUUUUUUUUGCUGGAUGGAGGCGGAGACGUUUCGAUUUCAGCUUCAGAGAGCUCGCGCUUGAGUUUGUAUUCAGCGGGGUCGCGCUUGAGUGUGUCACGAGCAGUGCACAAUAUGUUUCGCUUAGUUGCGUGAGGUACUUGCCCGUGUAGCGCACAGCCCAAAGACGCAAAUUGCGUAUCUGGACGCUUAACAAAUUCAGACCCACUGAUGAAGGAACUGUUAGAGCAAAGCACUGUUACACACCCACCGAGACUGGAUACCAUUUUGACUGGGCGGCGAGGGACAGUAACGUGAUGACCGUGGAAUUUGCCAUCAUGACAGAGGAAGCCAGUGAGUGACCUUACACAGAGUGCUAACGCUGAGCCUCUGAGCACCGUUUCAUAAGAGAUUUUUUAUUUUUUUUAUUGCAUAUGUAUUUUAUCAUAGAACACUUAAAUGUAAAUUAAAAGAAUGAUUUGGUAAGAGUAAAAUGGGAGUAAUCUGUCUUGUUUAUAAUGUCAGCAGCAAUGCAGGUUUCAGUGGACAGAUGGAAGGCAGCCAUCAUCUGCACUGUUGUGGAAAUGUGUCUUACAAGAUCUCAGAAAGCUCCUGCUGUAAUGUUAUGUACCUGACAACAACUCAUUUGUGUUGUGGUGGCGGCAACAUAUUUGAAUGGAAGGAAAAUCAUUCUUGUUGUGGCAAAGAAACGUAUGACAUGACAACCCACUGCUGCUGUACUAACCUUACACUAGAAGUAAAGCCUAAAAAUGAAACUUGCUGUCCAAAAGCAACAGGUGUGAUUAUUAGACAAACAGUAAUAGAUAUGUCAUUUGUUUUAGUAGGUUAUAAUCUGAAUCUUAUUCUCACAGACACUGAUGAAAGAACAGAAUGCCAGCAAGGCUCUCUUCCCACCCGGUGAGUCACACACAAUGUUCUGGCUUAAAGACUGUGUUAAAACUGUGUCAACA
Molecule: long non-coding RNA, 1121 nt
Filed under: Sinocyclocheilus grahami
Lineage: Eukaryota; Metazoa; Chordata; Actinopteri; Cypriniformes; Cyprinidae
Description: lncRNA (ENSSGRG00000000233.1)
Source: RNAcentral